GCAGCUCUGUGCAAUUUCCAUCUCAAUUUCUCCGGAUCGCCAGAGCGGCCCAACACCUCCCCACCACGCGCAGCCACCGACCGAGCCCCACCCCAAAAACCCUACGCCGCGCAAACCCUAGCGCCGCCGCCGCCGCUUCGUCCACAUCCUUCCAUCCCAAUGACCGGCCUCCUGCGGCUCGCCGGCGCCGCCAGGUCACUGGCCCGCGCGGCCGGGCCGCUCCAACGGAGACGGCUCGCGGCCGCCGCCGUGGCGGAGGACUACUACUGGACCGAAUGGGAGGAGGAGGAAGAGGAGGAGGCGCGGCGGCGGCAGCGGCAGCGGGCUCCCGCCGCGGAGUCGUGCCCGGCCGGCGGCGGGCCCAGGGGCGUGCAGUGGGUCGUCAUGGGCCGCCCCGGCCCGCAGAAGCACGCCCACGCGGCCCGCCUCGCCGAGGUGCUCGCCGUGCCUUACAUCUCCAUGGGCACGCUCGUCCGGCAGGAGCUCAGCCCCACUUCCUCCCUCUACAAGAAGAUUGCUAAUUCGGUGAAUGAAGGAAAGCUUGUGCCGGAGGAUAUCAUAUUCGGAUUGCUGACGAAGCGUCUUGAGGAAGGAUACUAUAAAGGAGAAACUGGAUUCAUCCUCGAUGGGAUCCCACGCACCCAUGUGCAAGCUGAGAUCCUUGAUGAGAUUGUGGAUAUUGACUUGGUUCUGAACUUCAAAUGUGCUGAUAACUGUUUUAUGAAGAAGCGGUAUGGGGGAGACAUAUGUUCCCACUGCGGGCAGCUAUUUGAUGUCAGCAAUCCAGCGUCUAUGGAGCGUAAUUUCUGGCAUGCUCAGGCACAACCUGCUGCUAUCAUGGGCCUGGAAAACGCAAGGAUGGAGAAGAUGCGUUCUUACGCCAAGCAGUGAAAACUCCCAUCUGGUGAAAACCUGAAAACUCUCGCUGUGAACCGUUGGAUCGGGAAUGUGUGGCUCAGAUCGAAGGUGGGAUUGAAAUCAGCCACUUAAACGUACACUUGCGCAAACCCCCCUCCUUUUACGUAGAAACUCGGUAACGAUUAGGCAGCUGGAAAACGAUUCGUCUUCUCCAAUCCGUCCCAAUCGACCAUGGAGCUGCGUCCGCCUCCAGUUGCCGGCGCUGGCCCUCCGCCGCCUACCUCUCCGACAGCCCCCACAACGUUGCGUCCUCCUCCAGUACCGUCCGGGAGCGUGUGUCCAACGCUCAUGAUUUCCUGCCUCCGCCGUCUAUGUUCAGGCGUACCCGGACCUCCUACGGGCACGUUCGCGAGUGCUCGCCCUUCAGAAUACGUUUCACUGCCGCUCGUCCUUUGCUUGGAUGCGGCUCUGCCCCCUUCCGUGCACCUGCCUCCUAGCAGCAGCCAGCAGUACACAGACCCCUGAUUGCAACGAGGAAGGAAGCUCCAACAUGUCCAAGCGCUCAUGUCACAUCGAUUCCGCUGAACAACAACUGUUUUCUGUACAUUUGGCUAGCCAUUGAUUCCGCUAAACAGAAAUCAGGAAAUUCAGGAAACAGCAAAUAUUCUCUAUACAUUCACAUUCGUUCAGGAAUCCUUUGUACAGUCACAUUGAACAUUGACUCGGCUAAACCAAUCCGCAAUUACAAAUUCCGCUUACAAAUCA
RNA transcript from Brachypodium distachyon (stiff brome), 1623 nucleotides. It is a transcript of the gene named probable adenylate kinase 7, mitochondrial, with no coding region annotated. The transcript is spliced from 5 exons. Lineage: Eukaryota; Viridiplantae; Streptophyta; Magnoliopsida; Poales; Poaceae. The record is from RefSeq and is a predicted model, not a curated record.